GCAGAAGUGGUGGAAUUGGUAGACACGUUGGACUUAAAAUCCAAUGGGCCGUAAUGCCCGUGCGGGUUCAAGUCCCGCCUUCUGUACAA
RNAcentral lists this transfer RNA (89 nucleotides) under Tenacibaculum sp. RNAcentral's name for it is "tRNA-Leu". It matches the Rfam family "tRNA". Rfam says of the family: Transfer RNA (tRNA) molecules are approximately 80 nucleotides in length. The record is from RNAcentral. Lineage: Bacteria; Pseudomonadati; Bacteroidota; Flavobacteriia; Flavobacteriales; Flavobacteriaceae.